GGAAGUGAGGGUGUCACCCCGUUGAUUCCCACGGUGGAUUCAGCUGAUCUAUCUGACUCGGUGGAUAUCCCCCUCCUCCUUCACUGAUCCAUGUGUGACCUCCCAAAGCUGCACACUCAGUGAAAGGGGAUGGCUUUCCCUUAAUAGAAACAGACCAUUCUUCAGUGGAGGGUGUACAAGUGACUUUGCUCUGCUGCUAGAACUGUCACAAAGCUCCCAAUAGGGUUCAUGGAAAGAUAUCAAAUUGAUUAUACAUUUCUACAUUUGUCUCUGU
Molecule: small nuclear RNA, 274 nt
Filed under: Sorex araneus (European shrew)
Lineage: Eukaryota; Metazoa; Chordata; Mammalia; Eulipotyphla; Soricidae
Description: 7SK RNA (ENSSARG00000019028.1)
Rfam family: 7SK RNA
About the family: 7SK was discovered as an abundant small nuclear RNA in the mid-70s but a possible function has only recently been suggested.
Source: RNAcentral